Molecule: ribosomal RNA, 230 nt
Filed under: uncultured bacterium
Lineage: Bacteria
Description: partial 16S ribosomal RNA
Rfam family: Bacterial small subunit ribosomal RNA
Source: RNAcentral
UACGUACCGGACAAACGUUAUUCGGAAUUACUGGGCUUAAAGAGUGCGUAGGCGGCUUUGAAGGUGGGGUGUGAAAGCCCACGGCUCAACCGUGGAAUUGCGCUCCAAACCGCAAGGCUUGAGGAAGACAGAGGUGAGCGGAACUGAUGGUGGAGCGGUGAAAUGCGUUGAUAUCAUCAGGAACACCCGUGGCGAAGGCGGCUCACUGGGUCUUAUCUGACGCUGAGGCA